Molecule: transfer RNA, 76 nt
Filed under: bacterium
Lineage: Bacteria
Also listed under: 1 other name
Description: tRNA-His
Rfam family: tRNA
About the family: Transfer RNA (tRNA) molecules are approximately 80 nucleotides in length. Their secondary structure includes four short double-helical elements and three loops (D, anti-codon, and T loops).
Source: RNAcentral
GUGGCAUUAGCUCAGUUGGUAGAGCAUCGGUUUGUGGCACCGAGGGUCGUGGGUUCGAAGCCCGCAUGCCACCCCA